CAAACUUGCUUGUUCACGAGAAUCACGUGGGGAGCGUGUUAAAAUUACAGAUUCCUUGGCUCCACCCGCAGGCCUACUGAAUCAGAAUCUCGAAGGGAGGUACUCCGGAACCUGUAUCUCUAACUAGGGCCCCAGAGGCUGCUUAUGAUCACCAGGUCCUGCGCUUCCCGAAAAGGAUGAAGCUCCAGCUGCAGUUCUGGGGAGGCCUGGACCCCAGCUCCGGGGGGGCCGGGCUACCAAGGCCGCUGGGCCUGGAGAGGCGCGUCCCUGGCCCAUCUUAUCAGCGCUCUGCAGGGUCUGGGCCUGCUGCUCGCGUCCUCCUGGGCUCCCAAGGCCACGGGUGGGUUAAUGGCUUGACAGCCGGCCUCCUGGCCCAGCAGACGCUGAGCAGCCCGAUGGCACAAUCCACCUCUUCUCUCCAAGGCCAGCUGGAGGGACGAGGCACGACAAGGCCAUCCCUACAGCUGGCACUUCCCCUACAGCUGAGAGGGGGCCUAAACUACAGGACACACUCCCAAGACCCUUAAGCCCUGGCAGCAUCCCGGGGGAGGGGGGCAGCAGGUGGAAGUGGAAAGAAGCCUGUGGAGCUGCCAGCAGGGAGAGGGAGUCGGACAUGAGGCUGAGAGGCCUCUGGGAACCCCUGUGCCAAGGGGCUGCUGGCACUGGGCAGCAGCACCCCAGAGCCCACGAGGAGUGUGCCCAGAGCAAGUGGCUCAGACCUGGGUCAUGGCUCGAGGGUGUCGGGCUGUAGCUGCUGGUCCCAGAGAGUGCAGCCCAGGGCAGGCAUCAGGACAGGAGUAGGAGGAGAAAGAGUGUUCUAGGAAGAGUCUAGUCCCCUAAUCCUGGUGGUGGCUGGCUGUAGCCUAGUGCACGCUGUCUGGCUUGUGUGGCUGUGCUGCCUGAGUAUACAUACCCUAGCAACAUUCUCCUUGCUCAGCACUGGACAUCAGCUCUCCACCUGGCCCCUUCCUCUAGGGAGGGGAUGGGGAGGCCUCCUAGGGUUAGCAGCAGGAGUUGGGCCUCAGGAAUCAGGAGCCCUUGAAAGGAGGAUGCGUGGUUCCCAUAAAACUGAGGGUUGCCCUGGGCCCUACCCUUCCUGAGUCAGCUCUUGCUUCAAUUCCUUGAAGCACCCCAGCAUCCUUUCAAUAAAUGCCUGCCCUUUGUGGCCUGCAACCAGAGGAACUGCAACUAGCACACUCACUGAAGGAAUCCUGCUGCUGCUGCUGCUGCUAAAAACAACCGAGGUCAUGGAUGAGGGGGUGGAGGAUACUCUCAUCCCACCUCCAGACUGACAACAAAAAGACCUAAAGAUCUCUGUGUACCUGGGACUGUCUACCAUUGAAGAUUAGCCAUGGUAACUUGUUGACUUAGUGAUCAACUUCCUGCAGAAGCCCAUAGGUCCACCUGGACUCUGCCCAGGCCAGCGUGUUCUGAAAAUGGAGGGCUCUGUCACCAUUCACUCAACAAAUGUUUAUUCUGCACUGACCGAGGGCCAGAUGUACCAAGAGCUGUGGACACAGCACUCCAACUUACUCCAGGGCUACUGAAAUCAGGGAUGGCUUCCCCAAAAGGCACACUAAGGAAAGUCUAUGUCACUAGCAGAGAAGAGGCAC
Molecule: long non-coding RNA, 1613 nt
Filed under: Homo sapiens (human)
Lineage: Eukaryota; Metazoa; Chordata; Mammalia; Primates; Hominidae
Description: long non-coding RNA NONHSAT223332.1
Source: RNAcentral